UGUGCAGACUGUACACACUACA
Molecule: microRNA, 22 nt
Filed under: Gadus morhua (Atlantic cod)
Lineage: Eukaryota; Metazoa; Chordata; Actinopteri; Gadiformes; Gadidae
Description: Gmo-Novel-8_5p (mature (guide))
Source: RNAcentral